This 327-nucleotide long non-coding RNA is filed under the name Citrus maxima (pomelo). RNAcentral's name for it is "long non-coding RNA (CMAX_LNC000117)". The record is from RNAcentral. Lineage: Eukaryota; Viridiplantae; Streptophyta; Magnoliopsida; Sapindales; Rutaceae.
AGUAAAGAUGAUUUUUUAGAUAAUUUUGAUUUAACUUUUGAGUUUGUUCAGGAUGAUGAUGUUUCUUACAAACAGUCACCGAAAGAAAAUGGGAUGGGAAACCCAAAAUCUGUGGAAACAAAUUAACUAAAUGUUGAAAAUAUUGAAUCCACAACUGAACAACCUUUGGUAAUUCCAUCUCAAAAUCAAAAUACUGAAACAACUUAGAUGUGUACAAAACGGUUUAAAGGUCUUGUAUAUUCAAAGGAACAUCUAGCACAAAAAAGAGCCACUAUCCCACAGCACUAUCAAGAAUCUGACCAGAGGUUGGAUCAUGAAGUUUGUGAC